Long non-coding RNA from Rosa chinensis, 767 nucleotides. RefSeq lists it as uncharacterized. The record is from RefSeq and is a predicted model, not a curated record. NCBI's taxonomy places the organism in Eukaryota, Viridiplantae, Streptophyta, Magnoliopsida, Rosales, Rosaceae. The transcript is spliced from 3 exons.
UUUCUUUCUUCUCUUCACCAAACCCAGACGAUCUCGAAGCAUUUGGCGGAAUGCUCCAAGAAUAAGGAUACCCAUGUUAAUCAAUGAAGGGCUUCGGAGACGAAAUGCAUUUCUCCCAAUCUAAUCUGGGUAGAAUCGCGUUCAUGUUCUUAGCAAGGAGGACUUCAUCAUCUGGAGCUUGUGAUUGAUCCUCUCGCUUUUCUGCACAAAAGAUUGGGUGAGGGUUUUUAACUCCUUUGUUUGAUUUAUGAAUUAGGAGAACCCAAAUUUCUGAACUUUUCCUCAUGGUCCCCCUCGUUGGUGAUUCCAGGGCACUGAAUCUUGAAGGAACUAUAGCCUUUGUUUGCUGAAGCUUGUUUGUGGGUGUGGAGAGAUCAGCAACUUUGUGCAGUAACCAACUCUUUGCUUGAAUGCGUCAUUGCACAAGCAUAUUGAGUGGUGCAAACAAAAGCGGCAAUGAUCAAAGCCUCAAAGGUCUCUCGAAGCUUAUUUUUCUUUAAGGUGGCCGGAGACAAGAACAGCGACUAUACCGUAGCCAAGUAUCAGAACUCCAAGAUUUAAACUCAAGGGUGAGGCUUUCUUUUAUUUACCCAUUGGCUAUUUUGAGAAUAGGUGUUUUGGAAUGGAGAUCGGGACUGGCUCUUUUUGGCUAUGGUGUUUUGAAAGGAUGCAGGGGGUAAUUAUAUCUGGUGUUUAAGUGAAGUUGACAGAGUUCCUGUUAUCAUUUUUGUGUUGAAUCACGACCCUAUAUGGAAGCAAGGUCUGGA